Long non-coding RNA from Malus domestica (apple), 959 nucleotides. RefSeq lists it as uncharacterized. The record is from RefSeq and is a predicted model, not a curated record. Lineage: Eukaryota; Viridiplantae; Streptophyta; Magnoliopsida; Rosales; Rosaceae.
AUCUCUCUCGGCUCUCCUUCUUCUUGUGAAACAAACCACCACCACCAAAAUUUUGGCUUGUUGAACACCAAAACCAUUAUUAUCUGCAUGUCUUCACCACCAUAAACCCAGUUUUGAGUUUUGUUUCAUUGAAAACGAAUCCUAACCUCGAGUUCGAAGAACAAGGUUUUGGGCCGAGACUUCUAGGCGUGAUUCAGACAAUUUUCAGCCAUUUUUUUGAACUCAGAACAGUUUCUAGCGAUCUCGUGACCUUCCAGAUCAUUUUCCGGCCAAACCACAGCGAUUUAUCCAUCAGGAAAGUUUGCCCAGAAAUUCCGGCGAGUUACUUGUUUUCCCGCGGACAGCCAUAUUUCAGGCCAUUUUCCGGCUAUCUCUGGCCACCAUUUGGACUCCAAGUAUGUGGAAUCUUGUUCUACACUUCUCUAGCUUUGUUUUGGUAUAUUAUGGGUCAAAAUUGGGUGUGAAACGAGUGAGAUAUGGAGUUCUAAAGAUUGCCCAAAAAAUCUGCAGAAUCCAGCGAAAUUUCGUUAAGGUCUGCCACUUGAACAUUAUAGCAAUUGACGAUCUGACCAUUGGAUCGUCACCAAAAUUUGGUACAUUAUAGUACGUAAUAUUUAAGGACCUUAGGAACUUACGAAUCGAAAAUCUAGUGGUUGGAUCUUAUGGAGCAAGUGACAUAGGAUCAUGGACCCUACCUUUGAAUGACGGUUUGAUUCUCAUUAAAUGUUGUUGUGGGGGACAUAUGGGAGUUUUUGAGUAUGUGAAUUAUCAAAGGAAAUCUAAAUGUGGACUUGUACUUUGUUUUAGGCGACCCUAGUGCGUGACAUCUCAAUUCUUGCGCUAGGGUGCGUUAGUGCAGGCUCUAGGUGAGUGACUUUAAUAUAUGUGAUAUUGGUAAUUACCCUGUUUUUGUAAUUGUUAUCCUGUGUGGAUAUGACUUGGUUUUAUAAAUAUGUUUU